UGACAAGAAAUAAUUGGCUUGUGAGAAUCAACAUUGAAGCUGGAAAAAUGAUGGCAUCCGAACAAGUAGACACAGCCCUAGUCAAGGCAAUAAACUACACUAAAGACAGAGGAGAAAGACUCAAAGUUGUUCUAACAUGGGUUCUCCAACUUCUGAAAUCCAUCCAGAAACUCCCUGUAUUUGGUUAUUCACAUCACUCCAGCUGACAGCCAACCAACAAACAGCCAGACACGUGAGCCCAACCAAGAUCAGAAGAACUGUCCCACUGAGCAUAGUCUAAAUUGCUAACAUGCAAAUGCAUGACCACAGCAAGGUAAUCUUACAGCCCAGGACUCAGCUGCUGCAAUCUCUGUGAAAGGUACUUAUGACUAAUGCUGAUGCCACCAUGAAGCUCAGGAAACAAUUUACAGGGACAUGGGCUGUUCUGAGACCCCACAGCCAUGAAUCGCCUAAUCAUUCUGACAGAUUUCUGCAGAUGCUGUGCUCAGGUCACUGAGUUUCCCAGUUGUCAGUGGUGAACUGGAGCGGAGGCAGAAGGAAACUCUUCAGACACACUGUUCCCUUCAGGAAACAAGGGACAAAAGGGCUGCCCUGAGGAGACUUGGGAAAGUGACAUUUCCUCAGGCUCGAGGACAUCCCGAGGUUCUGCUCAUGAAACAGAGACAACCAUGUGUGGUGCCUGCAUUCUUGGCCUGCGGGGAGUGGAAAGGAGACAAAGAGUAAAACACGGUGGGAAAGAAGAAAAAGAGGUUAAGAAAAGCAAAUGUGCCUACUCCAGGUCGCUCAAGAUGACCACAGGAAGGUUGUCAUCUUCAUGUCUAAAAGCCAGUUGACACUCAAGGGUGUCAUUUCACUUCAGUGAAAUGAGAAGCUUCACAGAUGUGUAGACUCUGAAAAAUCUAACUGGAAAACAAUACAGGGAAAUAGCAAUACUAGGCAUCAAAGCAGCAAAAAAACUACUCAAUUAUCUGAUAUGGGGAUUAUCAAUGGAAUAAAUGUGGGGUUUGUUGUUUGUUGUUGGGAUUGUUGUGGGUUUUGUUUCAUUUUUUAGGGUCUCACUUUUCUCCACCAAUUAGAUCUGUGCUGUGAGCCACACAGGUUUUGAGUACAUGUUUUGGGACUUUAUAUCGGUCAGACUUUGCCAUGGUAACACUGUGUAACGAGCAGCCCCAAAAAUCUCAGUGGUGGUCAAAAGCAAACCUUUAUUUCUCAUUCAUGGGUUUUCAGUUUGUUCAGGCUAAAAGUAAAAUACACAGAUUCUUCACCUGUCUUUCAUUCCAUGCUGAAGGAGCAAUUGACUGCCUGGGACAUACUUUUCUCAUAACAGAGGCAAGGGUGAAAAACACCAAGUCAUCUUGAUUAUGCAAUCCCAUUUUUAAUGUAAACAAUGUCAUGUCUGCUUCUAUUUCAUUGAGCAAAGCAAGUCAUAUAGGCAAGCCCAACAUCAGUGGGGUGAUAAAGCACACUCUCCAAUGGAAGGAGGAGGGGAGCAUGAUCAUUUGCUGAACAGUAAUGCAAGAUAGCACAAGACUUGUCUGGGGUGAGAGAGAGAUCAAAGCUGUGGAUCCCACCCAGUCUUCAACCAAAGCAAUGUGGCUUUGACCUGUUUUCUGUCUUGGACUUGAAUAAUACUUUAUUUGAAAGAAGUGUUAAAUUGUUUAUUAAAAAAAAAGACAAGUUUGAAAACCACUGUUUCCAAGUCGCUUAUUUUGCCAAUAAAGAAUCUGGGGUCAAAGGGUAAAUGCCUUGCUGAUUGUAUCUGUCUCAGGACCAGGGCUAUGAGAUUUAAAGUCAACCAGAUCUGGAUUUUCAAACCUAGCUCUACCAUGUUUUAGCGGAGACACUCUGGACAUGUUCACUAUCCUUUCAUCAUCACAGGCAAGGGUCUGUCCAGUGCCCUAAGUCCUAGGGCUCUCCAGUUGCUAACCACACUGAAGGGAUGAAAUGUAUGAGUGGGCCCUCCACUGGUGUGAUCUGUAAUCAGAAUGGGAAAGACUCUCUUUGCUCCACCAUGUCCGUGGGAUGAGAUGGAAAAGUGCACCAUUCCUGGUGGUGAUGCUUCUAUUUAAAAUACUGCUAAACUGAGUUUCCUUCCUUGCUCUUCUCUCUCCCUUUCUUUGACAAACCUAUGCAUGACUCGAGUAUACAGCUAUCUCCCCUAGUGGAGCACAGGCUUUUUGGAGGAUAAGGGUCACUCUUUCCAUGUUUAUUUCUUCCCACGCCUACACCUCACACCUCAUUCCAACUCCACAGCACAAUAACCAUCCUAUCUUCACAGCAGCAGAGAUUAUGUAAAUGGUUAUAAAUUAAAUAAUA
This 2316-nucleotide long non-coding RNA is filed under the name Homo sapiens (human). RNAcentral's name for it is "HSALNT0399509". Lineage: Eukaryota; Metazoa; Chordata; Mammalia; Primates; Hominidae. The record is from RNAcentral.